GUGUGUGUGUGUGUGUGUGUGUGUGUGUGUGUGUGUGUGUGUGUGUGUAUAUAUAUAUACACACACACACACACACACAUAUAUAUACACACAUACAUA
This is a non-coding RNA of Pelobates cultripes (western spadefoot toad), 99 nucleotides long. The record is from the annotation of a GenBank genome assembly. NCBI's taxonomy places the organism in Eukaryota, Metazoa, Chordata, Amphibia, Anura, Pelobatidae.